This 504-nucleotide ribosomal RNA is filed under the name uncultured bacterium. Its description in RNAcentral is "partial 16S ribosomal RNA". It matches the Rfam family "Bacterial small subunit ribosomal RNA", at positions 30 to 523 of the family's 1533-position model. The record is from RNAcentral.
AUUGAACGCUGGCGGCAGGCCUAACACAUGCAAGUCGAGCGGUAGCACAGAGAGCUUGCUCUCGGGUGACGAGCGGCGGACGGGUGAGUAAUGUCUGGGAAACUGCCUGAUGGAGGGGGAUAACUACUGGAAACGGUAGCUAAUACCGCAUAACGUCGCAAGACCAAAGAGGGGGACCUUCGGGCCUCUUGCCAUCAGAUGUGCCCAGAUGGGAUUAGCUAGUAGGUGGGGUAACGGCUCACCUAGGCGACGAUCCCUAGCUGGUCUGAGAGGAUUACCAGCCACACUGGAACUGAGACACGGUCCAGACUCCUACGGGAGGCAGCAGUGGGGAAUAUUGCACAAUGGGCGCAAGCCUGAUGCAGCCAUGCCGCGUGUAUGAAGAAGGCCUUCGGGUUGUAAAGUACUUUCAGCGGGGAGGAAGGUGUUGAGAUUAAUAACCUCAGCAAUUGACGUUACCCGCAGAAGAAACACCGGCUAACUCCGUGCCAGCAGCCGCCGUAA